GGCAGACAGAGCCAGAUAUGGUUUCUUCUUUUUCGUUUCCUCCGUCGAGCUAAACCUGAACAACGACAAUCCAUACUUAGAAGAAAAGUGAAACAGGUGUUUGAUCUUCUCUUUUGAAGAUAAGAGAUGAGAAGAAAGAUGGAGAUUUUGGUUAGCAAACCCAAAUUCUAGGAUUUCUUUUCCUGAAAUAUGGAAUACGGGAGGUCCUUAGGAGGCAUAAAUAGCCUCAUUUGAGAGGCUGGGACAAGUUAGAAGCUGACACAAAUAGCUACUUGGGAAAUGCCCCGUCUUAAUACCAAGACCAGCAACAUUAGAGUGACGUGACAGUGAACCAUCUUUCCUGGUUGAUGACAAGAAAUGGCUUAUCAACCAAAACCUUAUAACCUAUUGGAAAUGCGGGAGUGACACUGUGUUAUGCAUACAGACGAGGCAUGCCGGAGAAUCCCUACACUCAAUUUUGAUUUUUCCUCUCAAAACAGAAGUUGAAAAAGUACAUGGAGAUGAAUUGAUGUAUUACUUAUGUCGAUAUGAGGAUGCACCUUUCAACAUUCAAUGUCAGAAAAAUAUGGAAAUAAGAUUCAUCCAGACAGCUCCUCAUCUCCGAUACAAAAAGCGAUUGCAGGCCCGAUGUAGUGGUUUCGUCUUUUUGUCACCAUUUAUUUAUUUAGGGCUGUUCCGUGAUAUGCUGCGCAGGUGAUGUAAACGUCUGUAGCGUUUGCUAUGUCAGUUUGUUUGACAAAGCAUCUUAUAACAUACUCUUGAUUUUCAGGUUUAACUGAGAACUUUGGUUGCCUGGCAUCGAUUACCAUUGUGAUACUGGUAGGAAGUCCAUGACAGUUAUCCUCAAGUCCGAUUGUGGAAGGAAUUCAGUUUAAUGGUGAUUGCGAUUUUUGCGGUGGUUGUUCAAAAAACUGUGGACUUGGAGUAAGUUCAUAUUUUCCCUCCAAAUAUUUGCUUAUUCCAUAUUUGGGUAAUUUACAAUAAAAAGCUACUGCUGCUUAAAUUAGAUGUUUAAUGAAUGCGGACAUCCAUACAUUGUUUCGAAGAAUGCUAUCCAAUAUUGACCCCCCAAGUUUCAAUAUAUGAAGGUUUUUUAGCUAUAUAGGUUUCUCACUGGAUUGGUUUCUCCAAGAUGCCCAACACAAUAUCUACGACAAGUGAUCCAUCCUAUACAAAGUUGGUUCCAAAUUAUCGUAGGUUAGACUUAGUACGUAGUGGUUAAAAAUAUUGGGCUUCUCAGUGUUUCGAUGUGGGGUUUUUAUCCCAGGUGCCAAGUAUGUCCAUUAAUGUGUCAACUACAUGUCAAAUUAUGAUACUGAUUGUGUAUUUUUAUGUCAGUUUUUUUUCUUUUCGCAUAUUGGUUCUUUUUUGUGAUGCUGAAAAAGAAGUUUUGUGGAUUAAAUUAUGAUAGGUGGUUCAUUAUAUUUUUUUAUUUCUGAAUGCGUUUUUGAUGGUAAUUGGAUUCCUUUGUUGGUUUAUGUAUAGUGCUUGGUUAUUUGUCUGCUGGUGACUCAUAUGAAGGUAUUUUUAGUGGUUCUUUUUUUUCUGCAUCUUAAUUGAUUCUUAUUCAUUAAUACCGUGUAAGCAUCUCCGAAGCAAUGUGUGUUGUCCCCUGCCAGGAUCGUUUGGUUUCUGGCUGAGAUUACUGUGGAUACUAAAUUUGACCAUGUGCAUUCCAGAUAGGUUGACAGGUGUGUCAAUUCUGCUCUGUAUGUGGUUGUGAUGCAAAAUGUUGGCGACUCAGAUUUGCAUUAUUGUUGAUAGGUGGUUCAUUAUUUUUAUGAAUGCAUUUGAUGGUAAUGGUAUUCCUAGCCGAUUGCAUUAAUUGAGAUGCACAUAAACUGCUUUUCGACUAAACUUGAAAGAUACUCAAGAGUAGAUAGUAAUUUUUCUGAAUGCAUUUGAUGGUAAUGGCAUUCGUAGCUUAUUGUAUCCAUUGAGAUGCUCAGAAACUGCUUUUCGAUUAACUUGGAAGAUACUCAAGAGUAGAUAAUAAUUUUCUCAUAGAUGAUUUCACCAAGUGUGGUGAUCGUAAUACAAUUUAACUUGGGAGUAACCUUUAUGAACUGUCUUCACUUCAGUAUAGGAAAAGCUUCUUAUAGGCAAGGGCAGGAUGGUUCCUAUGAGUUGCCAGCACCUGAGAUUCACUGAAACCUUUUUAUAGUUUGAAGUGUGCUGCUUAACUGAAACUUUAUCGACCCUAUGGAUAAAAGUUUACAAUGUUAGUAAGAAAAUCACUUCACCACUAUCACCUAUAUUUCUUCAUUUUUUAGACUAUGUAGGGGUUCAGGUGAAUUCUGGAGGUAUUUUAACACCACCAGCCUGACUAUUUUAUGCCACCCAUACCAACACCACCACUACGCUUUCCGGACACUCUACGAGUGUUGUUCCUGAUCUGGGGGGUACUUUACAGGGUGAUUGUCUCUUACUCUCUCCCACUGUAUUUGUGCAGUAUCAUUUAUGGACAGGAAAUAGUAGCUGCAUAAAGCAACGAAGAAGAACAUAUCUAGCAUUGCCAUUCAGAACCUAAACAACUUCACUACAACAAUUAUGGAAGAGUGGUGGCUUAAUUUGUUGGUUUUUCUGUUUGAUCCAUAUGAUCUGUGGUUCUUCAUUUAACACACCGAGUUGAAAUUACAAGAAAAUAAAUAUUCAAACUCAACCCGAUUAUUUAGAUAUCGGUAAAAGAUCGAAAGCAACUAUUCAUAUGUCUCAGAUGCUAGAGUAAUGACCGGUUAAUCGCGCCACCUGCCGAGCAACAAGUAGUUGGAUGGCUACCGGUUAGAUUUAAUAGGACAAACAAUCUGCAACCAAAGAAGAACAUCGAAGGAGAGAACUCAUGAAUUAUUAUGUGAAAGUUAGUAUGGAUGGAGCUCCUUAUGUUAGAAAGAUUGAUCUUAAAGUUUACGAGAGAUAUUUAGAACUUCUCAGGGGAUGAUAUGUUCAAAUUCAAUAUGGGUCAUUAUUUUGAGAGCUAAGGCUACAGUAGUUCAGAAUUUUGUACCUACUUAACAAUAUCAUCCCUGGAUGCCGGUUGGAGAUUUCCAAAAAGGAGUGAGUUCUGCUCUUAAAAUGUGUUCGUCUCAUCAUGUGAAAUGUUGAAAAUCAUGAGAGGGUCAGAAGCUAGAAGUUCAGAAUAUUGUGCAUAUACCAGAAGUAAUAAUCAAGAAGCUAACGAAUCAUGCAACUGCUUGGGGUUCUCCUAGAAGAAACAAAGAAAGAGUUUUUUUUGUUUUUUUGACGCAACAUGGCAAGAGUUGAAUAUCUUUUUCCCAUAUUCUAAAGGUGGCUUCAAUAGCUGGCACACAAUAAUGCAUGAUUAUAAAUCUUUCUCAUCAGUUCCGAACGAAAAGAAAAACUUGGGUCUGGAGGACAAAGAUAAUUAUGUUUGUCACUACUACAUUGGCAGGAACUGAAAUAAAUUGGAUAGCGUUUCCUUUCCUUCACCAAUCAUCUUCGACGGAGGUCCAUCAAUGGGGUUUAUGCCCUCUACUUUGUCAAAGGUGAAAGGUUGUCCAUGAUUCGUUUCUAAAGAUACUGGGUACCUGCUAUAAGUAAGUUGAAAGUAAAUUCUCUGCUUGCUAGCCACUUGCAUUAGGAAAUGAUACUUGUCGUCUUAGCUCAAAUGACAGAGCACAUGGUUCUCAACCAUGUUGUUGUGGGUUCGACUCCUACAAAUGGCACCGUUAUAUGAGUUUGAUAAAAGCUUACAUACUUUUUAUGCCGAUUUUAGCUUUACAAUAUUUUUAGAGAAGGAUAAUUGGCAUCAUUGUUCAACAUCUAUCUUGAGUCUCCUUUUUAUGAAUUCUAAAGAAACCACGAAUUUGCAAAUAACAGGUAAGCAGCGUCGUUUCUUAUUUCUUAGCAUUUUUUCUUCUCCUCUAUAUUCAUUAUAGGUCACCAUAGCAACCAUCUCUUUCUUGAUUGUAAAAUAGAAAGCUUUGAACUGAAGUCUUAGUAAUUUACUUUUUCGAGGGGGAUAUAAUUUGUGGAUAUCGAGAGGGUGAUCUAAGGGAGCAAAUGCAAAUUUUCUUUUUCGCUUUUUUGAAAUAAUUUUUGCAGUAAAAUUUUAUGUAACCUUCACAACAAGGAUAUAUACAGGUUUACUUCACAUACAAAUUGGCAUUGUUUUGUUCAUUUUGCAUUGUUGUAGAGGUAGUAGUUGAGUAUAAAGAAGGUGCCCUGACUUGGUCUCCUCAACUUAAUUGUGUAGUUCCCUGACUUUGACUUUAACAGAUUGCAAGACGAUAAUAGUUGAGAAUAAAGAAGGUGCCAUAAAGAGGUAUUUGGUCUCCUCAACUUCAUUGUGGUGGCAAACUCUUUAUGGGAGAAUGAGAGAAACAUAGGAUUUUUUUUGUUGACAUUUCCUUUGCUUUUGUGAAUUAUUGAAACAUGAAUUGAAGGGAAUGGUUUGAUCACAUAGGUGUUCGCUAAAUCUCGAACUUUGUGAUUUCUCUGUUGUUGAGAACUCCUGAUGCUCAUAUGUAGAAGUUUUAAUCUAAGAUUACAACUUUGUUGCUCAAAAAA
Molecule: long non-coding RNA, 4527 nt
Organism: Papaver somniferum (opium poppy)
Lineage: Eukaryota; Viridiplantae; Streptophyta; Magnoliopsida; Ranunculales; Papaveraceae
Exons: 10
Source: RefSeq, a predicted model, not a curated record